Molecule: ribosomal RNA, 395 nt
Filed under: uncultured bacterium
Lineage: Bacteria
Description: bacterial SSU rRNA
Rfam family: Bacterial small subunit ribosomal RNA
Source: RNAcentral
GAGCGCCCCGCAAGGGGAGCGGCAGACGGGAGAGUAACACGUGGGAACGUACCCUUCAGUUCGGAACAACCCAGGGAAACUUGGGCUAAUACCGGAUACGUCCGUAAGGAGAAAGAUUUAUCGCUGAAGGAUCGGCCCGCGUCUGAUUAGCUUGUUGGUGGGGUAACGGCCCACCAAGGCGACGAUCAGUAGCUGGUCUGAGAGGAUGAUCAGCCUCACUGGGACUGAGACACGGCCCAGACUCCUACGGGAGGCAGCAGUGGGGAAUAUUGGACAAUGGGCGCAAGCCUGAUCCAGCCAUGCCGCGUGGGUGAUGAAGGCCUUAGGGUUGUAAAGCCCUUUCGGCGGGGAAGAUAAUGACGGUACCCGCAGAAGAAGCCCCGGCUAACUUCGUG